Molecule: ribosomal RNA, 1332 nt
Filed under: uncultured bacterium
Lineage: Bacteria
Description: bacterial SSU rRNA
Rfam family: Bacterial small subunit ribosomal RNA
Source: RNAcentral
GACGAACGCUGGCGGCGCGCCUAACACAUGCAAGUCGAACGAGAGAUGAGGAGCUUGCUCUUCAAAUCGAGUGGCGAACGGGUGAGUAACGCGUGAGGAACCUGCCUCAAAGAGGGGGACAACAGUUGGAAACGACUGCUAAUACCGCAUAAGCCCACAGCUCGGCAUCGAGCAGAGGGAAAAGGAGCAAUCCGCUUUGAGAUGGCCUCGCGUCCGAUUAGCUAGUUGGUGAGGUAACGGCCCACCAAGGCGACGAUCGGUAGCCGGACUGAGAGGUUGAACGGCCACAUUGGGACUGAGACACGGCCCAGACUCCUACGGGAGGCAGCAGUGGGGAAUAUUGCACAAUGGGGGAAACCCUGAUGCAGCGACGCCGCGUGGAGGAAGAAGGUCUUCGGAUUGUAAACUCCUGUUGUUGAGGAAGAUAAUGACGGUACUCAACAAGGAAGUGACGGCUAACUACGUGCCAGCAGCCGCGGUAAAACGUAGGUCACAAGCGUUGUCCGGAAUUACUGGGUGUAAAGGGAGCGCAGGCGGGAGAACAAGUUGGAAGUGAAAUCCAUGGGCUCAACCCAUGAACUGCUUUCAAAACUGUUUUUCUUGAGUAGUGCAGAGGUAGGCGGAAUUCCCGGUGUAGCGGUGGAAUGCGUAGAUAUCGGGAGGAACACCAGUGGCGAAGGCGGCCUACUGGGCACCAACUGACGCUGAGGCUCGAAAGUGUGGGUAGCAAACAGGAUUAGAUACCCUGGUAGUCCACACCGUAAACGAUGAUUACUAGGUGUUGGAGGAUUGACCCCUUCAGUGCCGCAGUUAACACAAUAAGUAAUCCACCUGGGGAGUACGACCGCAAGGUUGAAACUCAAAGGAAUUGACGGGGGCCCGCACAAGCAGUGGAGUAUGUGGUUUAAUUCGACGCAACGCGAAGAACCUUACCAAGUCUUGACAUCCUGCGACGCACAUAGAAAUAUGUGUUUCCUUCGGGACGCAGAGACAGGUGGUGCAUGGUUGUCGUCAGCUCGUGUCGUGAGAUGUUGGGUUAAGUCCCGCAACGAGCGCAACCCUUAUGGUCAGUUACUACGCAAGAGGACUCUGGCCAGACUGCCGUUGACAAAACGGAGGAAGGUGGGGAUGACGUCAAAUCAUCAUGCCCUUUAUGACUUGGGCUACACACGUACUACAAUGGCGUUAAACAAAGAGAAGCAAGACCGCGAGGUGGAGCAAAACUCAGAAACAACGUCCCAGUUCGGACUGCAGGCUGCAACUCGCCUGCACGAAGUCGGAAUUGCUAGUAAUCGUGGAUCAGCAUGCCACGGUGAAUACGUUCCCGGGCCU